UCUGGUUGAUCCUGCCAGAGGUUACUGCUAUCGAGGUUCGACUAAGCCAUGCGAGUCGAAUGUAGCAAUACAUGGCGAACUGCUCAGUAACACGUGGACAACCUGCCCUUAGGUUGGGUAUAAACCCGGGAAACUGGGUAUAAUACCCGAUAGGUCUCGAUUGCUGGAAUGCAUCGAGAUUUAAAGCUCCGGCGCCUAAGGAUGGGUCUGCGGCCUAUCAGGUAGUAGUGGGUGUAGCGUACCUACUAGCCUACGACGGGUACGGGUUGUGAGAGCAAGAGCCCGGAGAUGGAUUCUGAGACACGAAUCCAGGCCCUACGGGGUGCAGCAGGCGCGAAAACUUUACAAUGCUGGCAACAGCGAUAAGGGAACCUCGAGUGCCAGGUUACAAAUCUGGCUGUCGAGAUGCCUAAAAAGCAUUUCAUAGCAAGGGCCGGGCAAGACCGGUGCCAGCCGCCGCGGUAACACCGGCGGCUCGAGUGGUAACCGUUAUUAUUGGGUCUAAAGGGUCUGUAGCCGGCCGGAUAAGUCUCUUGAGAAAUCUGGCAGCUUAACUGUCAGGCUUUCAGGAGAUACUGUCUGGCUCGAGGCCGGGAGAGGUGAGAGGUACUUCAGGGGUAGGGGUGAAAUCUUGUAAUCCUUGAAGGACCACCAGUGGCGAAGGCGUCUCACCAGAACGGACCUGACGGCAAGGGACGAAAGCUAGGGGCACGAACCGGAUUAGAUACCCGGGUAGUCCUAGCCGUAAACGAUACUCGCUAGGUGUCGGCCACGGUGCGACCGUUGUCGGUGCCGUAGGGAAGCCGUGAAGCGAGCCACCUGGGAAGUACGGCCGCAAGGCUGAAACUUAAAGGAAUUGGCGGGGGAGCACCACAACGGGUGGAGCUUGCGGUUUAAUUGGAUUCAACGCCGGA
RNAcentral lists this ribosomal RNA (914 nucleotides) under uncultured archaeon. RNAcentral's name for it is "bacterial SSU rRNA". It matches the Rfam family "Archaeal small subunit ribosomal RNA", at positions 1 to 922 of the family's 1478-position model. The record is from RNAcentral.